AUGCGGAGAGUUUGAUCCUGGCUCAGGAUGAACGUUGGCGGCGUGCCUAAUACAUGCAAGUCGAACGAAGAGCUCAAAGUAGCAAUACUUUGAUCACUCUUAGUGGCGAACGGGUGAGUAACGCGUUGGUGAUCUGCCCCAAAGAGAGGGAUAACAGCCCGAAAGGUUGCUAAUACCUCAUGUGAUCAUUUGUUUUAGAAACUUAUGAUUAAAGGAGCUUGCUCCACUUUGGGAGGAGCCUGCGUCCCAUCAGCUAGUUGGUAGGGUAAUGGCCUACCAAGGCUAUGACGGGUAGGGGACCUGAGAGGGUGGCCCCCCACAAUGGAACUGAAACACGGUCCAUACACCUACGGGUGGCAGCAGUAGGGAAUAUUGGUAAUCUGCGAAAGCGGGAACCAGCAACGCCGCGUGCGCGAUGACGGCCUCGGGUUGUAAAGCGCUUUUCAAGAGGAAGAGGAAGGACUGUACUCUUGGAAUAAGUCUCGGCUAACUACGUGCCAGCAGCCGCGGUAACACGUAGGAGGCUAACGUUAUCCGGAUUUACUGGGCGUAAAGCGCGUGCAGGCGGUUCGGUAAGUUGGACGUGAAAGCUCCUGGCUCAACUGGGAGAGGUCGUUCAAUACUGUCGGACUAGAGGAUGGUAGAGGGAGGUGGAAUUCCGGGUGUAGUGGUGAAAUGCGCAGAUAUCCGGAGGAACACCAGUGGCGAAAGCGGCCUCCUGGACCAUUCCUGACGCUCAGACGCGAAAGCUAGGGUAGCAAACGGGAUUAGAGACCCCGGUAGUCCUAGCUGUAAACGAUGUGAACUUGGCGUCGGUGGGAUUAAAUCCAUCGGUGU
Molecule: ribosomal RNA, 837 nt
Filed under: uncultured bacterium
Lineage: Bacteria
Description: bacterial SSU rRNA
Rfam family: Bacterial small subunit ribosomal RNA
Source: RNAcentral